GGUUAUGGCUCAGUGGCAGAGCACUUGCCUAGCACGUGUGAGGCACUGGGUUCCAUCCUCAGCACCA
Molecule: transfer RNA, 67 nt
Filed under: Marmota monax (woodchuck)
Lineage: Eukaryota; Metazoa; Chordata; Mammalia; Rodentia; Sciuridae
Description: tRNA.Ala
Source: RNAcentral